AUCACUGUGCAUCCGUUCUCCCAACGGGCGGCGCACGGGCUCUUGGCCCGAGCGCACGCCCCUCGGGACCACAGGGGCAGCGUGUCAUCACAGUGCUGAUGCUCACGGCCUGUUGCGGCAAAAAGAUGCAAUCUGUGUCUUGAAACCACACCAGUUUGUUGGCACGUGGCAGCCGAGAUUUCCGGUCAGCUAGAGUUCAGCCAUCGGAUUACCACCAUUUACCCCAAUGACGUCUGUUCCACCCUUGUGUUCCGUUCUGUCCUUUACAUCAUUUCAGUCAGCUUUCUUUGCAGAAACAGCCUUCGCUGGGAGAAGACCUAUUUCAUAUCAUCUUUCUUAAGGAUCUACUGACAUCACACUUAAGAUUAGUGAACGCAAGCUGCCACGUAGUGAGCAGCCCUAUGGAGAGACCCCCAGGGCAAGGAAUGAAAGCCUCCGACCAACAGAUCAACAGCUAGUGAGGAGCUGAGGCCUGUAACAGCCCUGCAGGAUUGGAAGCACGGUCACCAGCCCCCACCCGACCCCGAGAUGAACACAGCCCAGACCAAACUGAAGCCGGGCAAGGGAAUUCAAUGUGCAGCCUGGACAAGAAUUCCAAAGGAGAAGCUGCCAUGUGGCAUCCAGUCUCUGCGGGUGGGGUGCACCCUAUUCGUCACAGCUCACGUUGGGCGUUUGAGGACAAGGCUCUAGAAAGGAGAUGGAAGCUCCUUGAAAGCAGGUGUUCUGUAAAACACAUUGCACUGUGUUCUAUACAUAGCUGGUGCUCAACAAUAUCUACAGAAUUACAUGUAAAGAUGAACUACACUGGGCAGCUCACUAGGUCCAAAGAGCGAUCUGUCUUAAUUCCGACUAGGUCAGGAUUCCUCAAUUUGAACCUACUGACAUUUCAGGCCAGAUGCCAGGAGCAGCUCCCAAGUCGUGACAACUAAAAAUGUCACCAGAAACUGCCCAACGUUCCUGGGGGACAAAGCUGCCCCAGACUGGGAACCACUGCACAAGAUACUCUGAGCAUCCUCACAAUGAUCCAGACAUGUAGGGAGACCCUCCUCUGCAAGGGGCGCUGGAUAUGCGAAGAGGAAAAAGACAAAGGCUCUGCCGUCCUG
Long non-coding RNA from Zalophus californianus (California sea lion), 1103 nucleotides. RefSeq lists it as uncharacterized. The transcript is spliced from 6 exons. The record is from RefSeq and is a predicted model, not a curated record. Lineage: Eukaryota; Metazoa; Chordata; Mammalia; Carnivora; Otariidae.